AGAGUUUGAUCAUGGCUCAGGACGAACGCUGGCGGCGUGCUUAACACAUGCAAGUCGAACGGAAAGGCCCUUCGGGGUACUCGAGUGGCGAACGGGUGAGUAACACGUGGGUGAUCUGCCCUGCACUUUGGGAUAAGCCUGGGAAACUGGGUCUAAUACCGAAUAGGACCACGCGCUUCAUGGUGUGUGGUGGAAAGCUUUUGCGGUGUGGGAUGGGCCCGCGGCCUAUCAGCUUGUUGGUGGGGUAAUGGCCUACCAAGGCGACGACGGGUAGCCGGCCUGAGAGGGUGACCGGCCACACUGGGACUGAGAUACGGCCCAGACUCCUACGGGAGGCAGCAGUGGGGAAUAUUGCACAAUGGGCGCAAGCCUGAUGCAGCGACGCCGCGUGAGGGAUGACGGCCUUCGGGUUGUAAACCUCUUUCAAUAGGGACGAAGCGCAAGUGACGGUACCUAUAGAAGAAGCACCGGCCAACUACGUGCCAGCAGCCGCGGUAAUACGUAGGGUGCGAGCGUUGUCCGGAAUUACUGGGCGUAAAGAGCUCGUAGGUGGUUUGUCGCGUUGUUCGUGAAAACUCACAGCUUAACUGUGGGCGUGCGGGCGAUACGGGCAGACUAGAGUACUGCAGGGGAGACUGGAAUUCCUGGUGUAGCGGUGGAAUGCGCAGAUAUCAGGAGGAACACCGGUGGCGAAGGCGGGUCUCUGGGCAGUAACUGACGCUGAGGAGCGAAAGCGUGGGUAGCGAACAGGAUUAGAUACCCCGGUAGUCCAA
This 773-nucleotide ribosomal RNA is filed under the name uncultured bacterium. Its description in RNAcentral is "bacterial SSU rRNA". It matches the Rfam family "Bacterial small subunit ribosomal RNA", at positions 8 to 798 of the family's 1533-position model. The record is from RNAcentral.